This 465-nucleotide ribosomal RNA is filed under the name uncultured bacterium. Its description in RNAcentral is "partial 16S ribosomal RNA". It matches the Rfam family "Bacterial small subunit ribosomal RNA", at positions 338 to 795 of the family's 1533-position model. The record is from RNAcentral.
CCUACGGGUGGCAGCAGUGGGGAAUUUUGCGCAAUGCUCGAAACAGUGACGCAGCGACGCCGCGUGAAUGACGAAGGCCUUCUGGUCGUAAAGUUCUUUCGACAGGGAAGAAAAUUCCUAUAAGUAACUGUGUAUGUUUUGUCGGUCCCUGUAUCAGCAGCCCCGGCUAACCGCGUGCCAGCAGCCGCGUUAAUACGGAGGGGGCGUGCGUUGUUCGGGGUGAAGGGGGGUAAAGGGAACGUAGGCGGUGUUGGAAGUCAUGAGUGAAAGACUAGAGCUCAAAUUUGGAAAGGCUAGUGAAACUAUAAGACUGGAGUGUAGGAGAGGAGUGCGGAAUUCCUAGUGUAGCGGUGAAAUGCGUAGAUAUCAGGAGGAAGACCAGUAGCGAAGGCGGCAAGCUGGGUGGUAACUGACGCUGAGGUGCGAAAGCGUGGGGAGCAAACAGGAUUAGAUACCCGAGUAGUC